UAGGGAAUCUUCGGCAAUGGACGAAAGUCUGACCGAGCAACGCCGCGUGAGUGAAGAAGGUUUUCGGAUCGUAAAACUCUGUUGUUAGAGAAGAACAAGGACGUUAGUAACUGAACGUCCCCUGACGGUAUCUAACCAGAAAGCCACGGCUAACUACGUGCCAGCAGCCGCGGUAAUACGUAGGUGGCAAGCGUUGUCCGGAUUUAUUUGGCGUAAAGCGAGCGCAGGCGGUUUCUUAAGUCUGAUGUGAAAGCCCCCGGCUCAACCGGGGAGGGUAAUUGGAAACUGGGAGACUUGAGUGCAGAAGAGGAGAGUGAAAUUCCAUGUGUAGCGGUGAAAUGCGUAGAUAUAUGGAGGAACACCAGUGGCGAAGGCGGCUCUCUGGUCUGUAACUGACGCUGAGGCUCGAAAGCGUGGGGAGCAAACAGG
RNAcentral lists this ribosomal RNA (429 nucleotides) under Gemmatimonadota bacterium. RNAcentral describes it as "Gemmatimonadetes bacterium partial 16S ribosomal RNA". It matches the Rfam family "Bacterial small subunit ribosomal RNA", at positions 355 to 776 of the family's 1533-position model. The record is from RNAcentral. Lineage: Bacteria; Pseudomonadati; Gemmatimonadota.